RNAcentral lists this unclassified non-coding RNA (352 nucleotides) under soil metagenome. Its description in RNAcentral is "partial contains 5.8S ribosomal RNA, internal transcribed spacer 2, and large subunit ribosomal RNA". The stretch from base 1 to 120 matches the Rfam family "5.8S ribosomal RNA", at positions 35 to 154 of the family's 154-position model. The record is from RNAcentral.
GAUGAAGAACGUAGCGAAAUGCGAUAAGUAAUGUGAAUUGCAGAAUUCAGUGAAUCAUCGAAUCUUUGAACGCACAUUGCGCCCGCCAGUAUUCUGGCGGGCAUGCCUGUUCGAGCGUCAUUUCAACCCUCAGGCCCCCAGUGCCUGGUGUUGGGGAUCGGCCCAGCCUUCCUGUAAGGCCGCCGGCCCCGAAAUCUAGUGGCGGUCUCGCUGUAGUCCUCCCCUGCGUAGUAGCACAACCUCGCAGUUGGAACGCGGCGGUGGCCAUGCCGUUAAACACCCCACUUCUGAAAGUUGACCUCGGAUCAGGUAGGAAUACCCGCUGAACUUAAGCAUAUCAAUAAGCGGAGGA